UACGAAGGGGGCAAGCGUUGCUCGGAUUGACUGGGCGUAAAGGGCGCGUAGGCGGUUCGUACAGUCAGACGUGAAAUUCCUGGGCUCAACCUGGGGGCUGCGUUUGAUACGUGCGGACUUGAGUGCGGAAGAGGGUCGUGGAAUUCCCAGUGUAGAGGUGAAAUUCGUAGAUAUUGGGAAGAACACCAGUUGCGAAGGCGGCGACCUGGUCCGAUACUGACGCUGAGGCGCGAAAGCGUGGGGAGCAAACAGG
RNAcentral lists this ribosomal RNA (253 nucleotides) under uncultured bacterium. Its description in RNAcentral is "partial 16S ribosomal RNA". It matches the Rfam family "Bacterial small subunit ribosomal RNA", at positions 524 to 776 of the family's 1533-position model. The record is from RNAcentral.